AAUAGAUACCCAGGUAGUCCACGCCGUAAACGUUGGGCACUAGGUGUGGGGGGCAUUCCACGUCCUCCGCGCCGCAGCUAACGCAUUAAGUGCCCCGCCUGGGGAGUACAGCCGCAAGGCUAAAACUCAAAGGAAUUGACGGGGGCCCGCACAAGCGGCGGAGCAUGCGGAUUAAUUCGAUGCAACGCGAAGAACCUUACCAAGGCUUGACAUGGGCCGGACCGGGCUGGAGACAGUCCUUCCCUUCGGGGCCGGUUCACAGGUGGUGCAUGGUUGUCGUCAGCUCGUGUCGUGAGAUGUUGGGUUAAGUCCCGCAACGAGCGCAACCCUCGUUCCAUGUUGCCAGCACUUCGGGUGGGGACUCAUGGGAGACUGCCGGGGUCAACUCGGAGGAAGGUGGGGACGACGUCAAAUCAUCAUGCCCCCUUAUGCCUUGGGCUUCACGCAUGCUACAAUGGCCGGUACAAAGGGUUGCGAUGCUGUGAGGUUGAGCCAAUCCCAGAAAGCCGGUCUCAGUUCGGAUUGGGGUCUGCACUCGACCCCG
RNAcentral lists this ribosomal RNA (544 nucleotides) under uncultured bacterium. Its description in RNAcentral is "bacterial SSU rRNA". It matches the Rfam family "Bacterial small subunit ribosomal RNA", at positions 777 to 1320 of the family's 1533-position model. The record is from RNAcentral.